RNAcentral lists this ribosomal RNA (271 nucleotides) under uncultured bacterium. RNAcentral describes it as "partial 16S ribosomal RNA". It matches the Rfam family "Bacterial small subunit ribosomal RNA", at positions 524 to 794 of the family's 1533-position model. The record is from RNAcentral.
UACGUAGGGUGCGAGCGUUAAUCGGAAUUACUGGGCGUAAAGCGUGCGCAGGCGGUUUUGUAAGUCAGAUGUGAAAUCCCCGGGCUCAACCUGGGAACUGCAUUUGAGACUGCAAAGCUAGAGUGUGGCAGAGGGGGGUGGAAUUCCACGUGUAGCAGUGAAAUGCGUAGAGAUGUGGAGGAACACCGAUGGCGAAGGCAGCCCCCUGGGCCAAUACUGACGCUCAUGCACGAAAGCGUGGGGAGCAAACAGGAUUAGAAACCCUGGUAGU